This 409-nucleotide unclassified non-coding RNA is filed under the name soil metagenome. RNAcentral describes it as "partial contains 5.8S ribosomal RNA, internal transcribed spacer 2, and large subunit ribosomal RNA". The stretch from base 1 to 121 matches the Rfam family "5.8S ribosomal RNA", at positions 35 to 154 of the family's 154-position model. The record is from RNAcentral.
GAUGAAGAAACGCAGCGAAAUGCGAUAAGUAAUGUGAAUUGCAGAAUUUUGUGAAUCAUCGAAUCUUUGAACGCACAUUGCACCUUUUGGUAUUCCGAAAGGUAUGCUUGUUCGAGCGUCGUUUAUACCAUAUCAAUUUAAUUAUUGAAUGUAUUGAAGGCUUUCUUGUGUUGAACCUGGUUUCGACACACCUUCCAAAAUGAUUGAGCGAUCUUGAUUAGACUUGUUUAACGCAUUAAUAUACCUAUCGUUAGAAGAGGAAAUCAUGGGAUCUGCCAGAUUUUAAAAAUCGCGGGUGUCUUUUGGGGUUGCAAAACCGGAAAGAAAGACACCACACUCAUACAAAAACGAUCGACCUCGAAUCAAGUAGGAUUACCCGCUGAACUUAAGCAUAUCAAUAAGCGGAGGA